Molecule: microRNA, 20 nt
Filed under: Strongyloides ratti
Lineage: Eukaryota; Metazoa; Nematoda; Chromadorea; Rhabditida; Strongyloididae
Description: str-miR-8377-3p
Source: miRBase by way of RNAcentral
UUCAUUGUCCAGCGUUGAAC